RNAcentral lists this ribosomal RNA (254 nucleotides) under uncultured bacterium. RNAcentral's name for it is "partial 16S ribosomal RNA". It matches the Rfam family "Bacterial small subunit ribosomal RNA", at positions 524 to 777 of the family's 1533-position model. The record is from RNAcentral.
UACGAAGGGGGCUAGCGUUGCUCGGAAUCACUGGGCGUAAAGCGCACGUAGGCGGAUCUUUAAGUCAGGGGUGAAAUCCUGGAGCUCAACUCCAGAACUGCCUUUGAUACUGAGGAUCUUGAGUCCGGGAGAGGUGAGUGGAACUCCGAGUGUAGAGGUGAAAUUCGUAGAUAUUCGGAAGAACACCAGUGGCGAAGGCGGCUCACUGGCCCGGUACUGACGCUGAGGUGCGAAAGCGUGGGGAGCAAACAGGG